GAUCAUGGCUCAGGAUGAACGCUGGCGGCGUGCUUAACACAUGCAAGUCGAACGAGAAAUGAAGACGGAAACCUUCGGGCGGAAGGCUUCAUUUCGAGUGGCGGACGGGUGAGUAACGCGUGGGUAACCUGCCUCAUACAGGGGGAUAACAGUUGGAAACGACUGUUAAUACCGCAUAAGACCACAGCACCGCAUGGUGCGGGGGUAAAAACUCCGGUGGUAUGAGAUGGACCCGCGUUCGAUUAGCCAGUUGGG
RNAcentral lists this ribosomal RNA (255 nucleotides) under uncultured bacterium. RNAcentral's name for it is "partial 16S ribosomal RNA". It matches the Rfam family "Bacterial small subunit ribosomal RNA", at positions 15 to 253 of the family's 1533-position model. The record is from RNAcentral.